UGCCUGAUGGAGGGGGAUAACUACGGGAAACGGUAGCUAAUACCGCAUAACGUCGCAAGACCAAAGAGGGGGACCUUCGGGCCUCUUGCCAUCGGAUGUGCCCAGAGGGGAUUAGCUAGUAGGUGGGGUAACGGCUCACCUAGGCGACGAUCCCUAGCUGGUCUGAGAGGAUGACCAGCCACACUGGAGGGGAGACACGGUCCAGCCUCGUACGGGAGGCAGCAGUGGGGAAUAUUGCACAAUGGGCGCAAGCCU
This 255-nucleotide ribosomal RNA is filed under the name uncultured bacterium. RNAcentral describes it as "partial 16S ribosomal RNA". It matches the Rfam family "Bacterial small subunit ribosomal RNA", at positions 127 to 384 of the family's 1533-position model. The record is from RNAcentral.